This 408-nucleotide ribosomal RNA is filed under the name uncultured soil bacterium. RNAcentral describes it as "bacterial SSU rRNA". It matches the Rfam family "Bacterial small subunit ribosomal RNA", at positions 26 to 440 of the family's 1533-position model. The record is from RNAcentral.
AGAUUGAACGCUGGCGGCAUGCUUUACACAUGCAAGUCGAACGGCAGCGCGGGGUAACCUGGCGGCGAGUGGCGAACGGGUGAGUAAUAUAUCGGAACGUACCCAAGAGUGGGGGAUAACGUAGCGAAAGUUACGCUAAUACCGCAUACGAUCUAAGGAUGAAAGCAGGGGACCGCAAGGCCUUGUGCUCCUGGAGCGGCCGAUAUCUGAUUAGCUAGUUGGUAGGGUAAAGGCCUACCAAGGCUACGAUCAGUAGCUGGUCUGAGAGGACGACCAGCCACACUGGAACUGAGACACGGUCCAGACUCCUACGGGAGGCAGCAGUGGGGAAUUUUGGACAAUGGGCGCAAGCCUGAUCCAGCAAUGCCGCGUGAGUGAAGAAGGCCUCGGUGUAAGAUCUUUGUUCUA